AUGGGAGUGACAAAGGAACGGGGUAGACGAAGCGGUCUGGAAAGGCCUGCCAGAGAAGGUGACAGCCCUGUAGUCGAAACUUCGUUCCCUCCCGAGUGGCUCCUGAGUACGGCGGGACACGGGGAAUCCCGUCGGAAGCAGGGAGGACCAUCUCCCAAGGCUAAAUACUCCCUAGUGACCGAUAGUGAACCAGUACCGUGAGGGAAAGGUGAAAAGCACCCCGGAAGGGGAGUGAAAGAGAACCUGAAACCGUGUGCCUACAAGUAGUCAGAGCCCGUUGAUGGGUGAUGGCGUGCCUUUUGUAGAAUGAACCGGCGAGUUACGAUGACGUGCAAGGUUAAGUCGAAAAGACGGAGCCGCAGCGAAAGCGAGUCUGAACAGGGCGCACAGUACGUCGUCGUAGACCCGAAACCAGGUGAUCUACCCAUGUCCAGGGUGAAGGUAGGGUAACACCUACUGGAGGCCCGAACCCACGCACGUUGAAAAGUGCGGGGAUGAGGUGUGGGUAGGGGUGAAAUGCCAAUCGAACCUGGAGAUAGCUGGUUCUCCCCGAAAUAGCUUUAGGGCUAGCCUCAAGGGAAGAGUCUUGGAGGUAGAGCACUGAUUGAGCUAGGGGCCCUCAUCGGGUUACCGAACUCAGUCAAACUCCGAAUGCCAAUGACUUAUCCUUGGGAGUCAGACUGCGAGUGAUAAGAUCCGUAGUCGAGAGGGAAACAGCCCAGACCACCAGCUAAGGUCCCAAAGUGUACGUUAAGUGGAAAAGGAUGUGGAGUUGCCCAGACAACCAGGAUGUUGGCUUAGAAGCAGCCAUCAUUUAAAGAGUGCGUAAUAGCUCACUGGUCGAGUGACUCUGCGCCGAAAAUGUACCGGGGCUAAACGUACCACCGAAGCUGUGGGAUGACCAACGGUCAUCGGUAGGGGAGCGUUCUAAGUGCGCCGAAGCGAGACCGGAAGGACUCGUGGAGCGCUUAGAAGUGAGAAUGCCGGUGUGAGUAGCGAAAACAGAGGUGAGAAUCCUCUGCACCGAAAGCCUAAGGGUUCCUGAGGAAGGUUCGUCCGCUCAGGGUUAGUCGGGACCUAAGCCGAGGCCGAAAGGCGUAGGUGAUGGGCAACAGGUAGAGAUUCCUGUACCACCUCCUCACCGUUUGAGC
Molecule: ribosomal RNA, 1151 nt
Filed under: Anoxybacillus flavithermus
Lineage: Bacteria; Bacillati; Bacillota; Bacilli; Caryophanales; Anoxybacillaceae
Description: bacterial LSU rRNA
Rfam family: Bacterial large subunit ribosomal RNA
Source: RNAcentral